CCUUCUUUCUUUCUCUCUUUCUCCAGGCUCCAGCCUUCAUCCCCAUUCCUCUUUGAUUUUCUUUUGAAUUGCUAGAAAUGAGGAAGACUGGAAGACGAUAGGCUUUCAAUCCAAGAUCGAGUUUGCUUCGGUUUCUUCCUCCUUUUUUGCAAUUCAAAAAAAAUGCCAUUGUUGAAUUUGUUUAAAGCUACGAGAGUGGAUUUUUGAAAUUAGGGUUGUACAUUUGUAGAAAAAAGAGAGGACGGGAUAUGGCGGGGUGGGAUAGGGCUUCAGUCAUAUUCGGAAUCAUGUUUGUUUCGUCGUCUUCGACACCUUCGAAUCAAGUUAGGAAAAAAGUUUAUUGAUAGGAAAGAAGCUCAAGAAGCUCUUGUAGAGUUGUAGAUGAGAAGAAAACAACCUCUUGAGGGACAGUAUUCUAUCAAGUACAAUGCUUGAAGGCCUCCACCACCAAGUAUCUAGUGGAGCCGUGGAGGUUCGCCUAUGUACGGACCAGAAGUUGCAGAACGUUAUUUAUCUGCCAUGUAUGUUUAUCUUCUCUGUAUAUGUAUUUGCCCGCAACCGAGUCUGGUUAUUGCUAUGUUACUCAGACUCGGGUACCCAUGUCGGACACGGGUACGUUUCCAAGUGUCCGACUCGGCUAUUUUGUGAAAAAAAAAAUCACAGACUUGGUCCAAAAUGAAGUGUCUGGUGUCCAUACCCAUGUCCGAAUGUCGAGAAUCCGACACGGGUACUUGAGGUAAAGUGAAGAGUCCAAGUAACAUGGCUCUUCUAUAUCCUAUUUAGAAUCAUAUCAUCCUAUGUUGUGAUUUUGAAAUGUAAUACAGUACAUGAUUUACUUGUUCAUGCAAUGUGCUAGCCUACACAAAUUAGGAUUGAAAUUGCACAAUUGUUUGUACCCCAUGAAAACUCCCAUAAUAAAAUUCAAGAACUUAUCUUUCCCUUAAUAAA
Long non-coding RNA from Spinacia oleracea (spinach), 948 nucleotides. RefSeq lists it as uncharacterized. The record is from RefSeq and is a predicted model, not a curated record. The transcript has 3 exons. NCBI's taxonomy places the organism in Eukaryota, Viridiplantae, Streptophyta, Magnoliopsida, Caryophyllales, Amaranthaceae.